Molecule: ribosomal RNA, 460 nt
Filed under: uncultured bacterium
Lineage: Bacteria
Description: partial 16S ribosomal RNA
Rfam family: Bacterial small subunit ribosomal RNA
Source: RNAcentral
CCUACGGGCGGCUGCAGUGAGGAAUAUUGGUCAAUGGACGCAAGUCUGAACCAGCCAUGCCGCGUGAAGGAAGACGGCUCUAUGAGUUGUAAACUGCUUUUGUACGAGGGUAAACGCAGAUACGCGUAUCUGUCUGAAAGUAUCGUACGAAUAAGGAUCGGCUAACUCCGUGCCAGCAGCCGCGGUAAUACGGAGGAUUCAAGCGUUAUCCGGAUUUAGUGGGUUUAAAGGGUGCGUAGGCGGUCGGAUAAGUUAGAGGUGAAAUCCCGAGGCUCAACUUCGGAAUUGCCUCUGAUACUGUUCGGCUAGAGAGUAGGUGCGGUAGGCGGAAUGUAUGGUGUAGCGGUGAAAUGCUUAGAGAUCAUACAGAACACCGAUUGCGAAGGCAGCUUACCAAGCUACUACUGACGUUGAGGCACGAAAGCGUGGGGAGCAAACAGGAUUAGAUACCCGGGUAGUC